Molecule: long non-coding RNA, 4132 nt
Organism: Pongo pygmaeus (Bornean orangutan)
Lineage: Eukaryota; Metazoa; Chordata; Mammalia; Primates; Hominidae
Exons: 4
Source: RefSeq, a predicted model, not a curated record
UGAAUUGGAAAUUGUCAAUAGCUGUGAAAAGAACAAUAGUGUUUGUUCCCAUCACCGUGAACAUGAAAUUGGUGCUCCCUGUUGUUCCUGUAACCAUGGACACCAGCUUGAUUCCGAUGAGAAAACAUGCAUAGAUCUUGAUGAAUGUGAGAAUGGAGAAGCCUGCUGUGCUCAGCUCUGCAUCAACUAUUUAGGAGGUUACAAAUGCAGAUGUCAGGAAGGCUUUCAGAUCACUUCCGAUGGUUGUGGAUGUGAUGAUGUGGAUGAGUGGCUGGAUGUCAGUAUAGUCUGUGACCAACUACAUUAAUUCUGUGGGAACAUACGAAUGUAGUUGUGAAGAAGGCUACAGAAUUGGAAAUGACAGAAAAACUUACCCCUCUUUAGAUGAUGAUGAGUUGGAGGAAGAAGAGGAGUGGGAAGUUGUGAGGUUUCCAGGUCUUCUAUUCAAGAGCCCACCUCAACAGCUUCAUUAUGUUGCUACCUUUCUGCCUCCCACCUACAAAGAUGAAGAAGAUGAGGAGGAAGAGGAAAAAGAUAUUCGUAGAGAACUGACUGCUUUGCACAAUUUUGGUGUGUAAAAGAAUUUACCUUAUUAUACUUACUUUUAUUUUUAGAUAAUUUACUACAUUUUUGUAGACAAUUUUACUAUCAAUAUUUAAUGCCAUCGUAUGUUUCAACACGAAGUUUGCAAGAAAAGUAGGGCCAAAGUCACUUCUUCAGAGCUUCCUAUGAAAUCCAUCAUAUUUUGUCCUUUUUAUUUCCUUUUGUACAAUAAAGGAGUGCUGUGUAGGUACUUGUAGAAGUGGGAGUGCAGUGUGGAGGGGUGUUCUUGAAGUUAAUACAGGAAAAUGGAGCAGAAAAAUAUCUUUAAAUUAGCAUAAUGGGGAGAAAGAUUGAAAUCUUUUAAUUCUUCUAUUAAAAUUUCACUAGAAAUCACUUUAGAUAGUUAAAACUUACCUUAAAUAGCCCUAAAAUGUAGUUCCUUUCUAGGUUUUAAAAUGCAGAGAACUAAUUGGUUAAUAUGCUUAAAUGAACCAAAAAAUCUUCAAAAUGUGAGCAGUUUUUCUUAUAUAUCUAACCAACAGAACUCAAGCAUCAACUUCUGAUCAAAGUAAAUAUCAAAAGUAACUGUUUGCAGCCAAUCCGCUGCUUCUUUUUUUUCCUUUGUAAAACAGAGCUGUUCUUUUUAUUCUCCCUCUAUUUAUUGUAUUUUAACAAUAUCAAAGCUUGAUGAUUGCUUUAGAAUGUAUUCAGAAAAAUAGGAGAAAUAUUUUUAUGCAGUGGUCAAAUCAUAAUAAUAUCAGUAAGUGUCUCUUUAUAAAAAUGGAAGUACUUUAAUGUUUCUUAAUUAAACUCCUUAUGCUUUGGCUAAUCAAAGUCAGAAGAGAAAUAGUUGGGGGCGGCAACAACAACAGUCAGAACUUGAGUGGCCAAAAGCUGCAAAGAAGAGAAGACCAGACAAGUAGGAUGGUCUCAGAUGCUUUUCUCCUCAAGCCAUUUGCCAAUUAAUGGGUUGUGCCAGGAAUCUGAAAGAUAGCUGCCAAGAGCUUGAAGAGUGAAGCACAUUUAUCAGCAGUUUCAUGAUGAUGGGGAGGCAGAACAUGAGCUCAGGCCUGCCAAAGGCCUUGGUAAAAAUGCCAAGUUUUCAAUUAGGACAUCUUAAAGUCCCUACGCUAGAAACAGGGACAAAAGUUAAAAUUGAAUGAGCCUUAAACAACUGAAUACACAUCUCUCCACCUUUACUCGAUAUGAUAAUUUCCCUCAAAAAAAGAAUGGAUAAAUACAUUGUGGUACAUUAAUACAAUGGAAUGCUAUAUAACCAUAAAAAAUAAACUCUUGCAUACACAACAUGUAUGAAUCUCACAUACAUUAUAUUGAAUGAAAGAAGCUUGACACCAAAGAGUACAUACUUUACAAUUCUACCUAUAAAAAGUUCAAAAAAGGGAAAAUAAUCUGUGGUGAUAGAGAUCACCACGGUGCUUAAUUUAUGAAAUUAAUGAUUGAAAAUUAUCAAGUCACUUUUGAGAUUUUGGGUUGCUAGUAAUAUUAUGUAUCUUGAUCUGGGUGGCAUUUACAUGAGUUAUUUACAAUGUGAAAAUAAGUUUGAAGUAUACAGUUUAGAUUUGUGUACUUCUCUGUGUAUUAAAUUUUAAUAAAAAGAUUUAUUCAGAAAACAAAACUACACAUAAAAAAUUCUGAAAGAAAAAGCAUCAAAAUUUCAGGAACAUUGAUUUUUUUUGUUCUCAAAUCAAUGAUAAUUUCUUUUUUAAAAAAGAAAUUCCUAAAGAUUCUAAGUAUUCUUAGGGACAAUAUUCCAAUGUUAUAAUUGGAAAAAGUAAAAUAAGCUUUAUUUUAAAAGCUAUGUCUUGCUGUUGUCCUUUUUAAAGAUUCCUUAGGAACUAUGCUCAAGGAUCUUUUUUUUUUUUUUUUUGUAGGAAAUUAAGGGUUUUAUUUUGAUUUUUAGUUACGUAGACAUUUAUGAGCGAACUAAGAUGGUAUCACAUUACAGUCUGUUUAGAUCACAUCUUUGGACACAAUUGCAGCUUGAGCUGCAAGGACUGAAUGAAUGGAGGACAGUGCCAGGAAGGAGUGAAUGCUCCUGCCCAGCAGGUUGGGGUGUCAUUCCUUGUAAUGAAAGUAAGUGACACCCUGAGAAUUGGGUAAGCACUCCAAACUACUCCUUUACAUAUAUUCUCCCCAAAAUGUUUUAAUAAAGUAAGCAAUUGAUAAGUACAAGAAGACAAUUUGUUGGGCAUAAAUAAUGCUUAUGAAGAGCUUAAGUUUUAAACUGAAUAUGUGAAUUAAAAAGGAGAUUUUGUGUUCCCUAGGAAACUCGACAUGCUGUCUCUUGUUUAUCCAUGGAAUGUAAAAGUUAAUAAAGAAUGCUAAUAUUCUAGGCCUAUAAAAAUCCCUCCAUUUAAAUAAAUCAUUAGGCCCUGACAAGCUAUUCCCAAUGAAGAAAAAAGGAAAGGAUUUGUGCUACAAAGUGCAAUUUAAAUGGACUUGCUUGACUGUUUGCUGCUUGGUUUUGUGUAUUUUUUUGUGCUUUUUCUUUUGAAAAAUAUGUUAACACAGCCAAUGACACUGGUUUAAUUUUUUUAUACAAGUCUCUCAUGAGUAAGUUCAAAGAUUUAAAAAUCAUACUGCCCAAAAUUCCUUUCCUCCAUAUUUUAAAUGAAGGUAUGCUUUCAGGAGUUCAGACUUCCAAGUGACAAAAUAAAAUAUAUUGACUAUCUUCGUUUCUUCUUUCUCUUUUUAAAUUCAUCUUAUGAGUUCUAUUUAUAUAAGUGUUUUGUCUUAGUUUUUGUGAUUGGCUUGGAAGAUGAUAUGAACAGAUUUUCUUUUGAACUCUCUACAUAUGGGAAGAACACAACUGUUGUUACUCUUAUAUGAUGUAGAUGCAAAGCUUCAGUCAUAACAUAGUGAAAUGGUUUAACCAAGAUUACUAGUUAGGGUUUUGAGGAUCUUCCUCAUGCAUCCCUCUGAUCACGUUUCUCUGCUGCUGAAAAACUUUGUCCCUUUCCCUUCACAUAAAGUGUAUACAUCUUACCCAGUCACUAGUGGCCAUCAGACUCUCAUAAAUCCUUUUGGCUUUUUGUCCUAGUCAUAGCUCUUCGCCUAACCUAUUAUUUCCCGCAUACUAAACCACUCGCUACUUAAUGUGCUGCACUUUUCAUCUUUAUGCCUUUUGCUAAACUGUCAUCCUUGAAGGCCUAUUUCUGCCUAUUGCAUGAAUCUUUAUUUGAUGGCCUCAGUCUAACACAGCUAUUUAUGUUUUUGAUGGAUUAAAAAAAUUUCUCUCUCUCUACAUUGGAUUAGAGUUCACUAUGUUCAUUUUCUAUCUUCUUUGCUAGACUGAGAGCUCGCUGGCCAGGUCCUAUUCAUGCUUAUUCAUUGUGAAUUUCUCCACACUGGAGGCAUCCACUGCAUGAAUGAACACAUGAAUAAAACUUGGUGUUGAAACUCCCAGCUAUAUUGACCUGCAACUUGACACACUCAAAUACGUAAAAUUGGGAUCAAAUAAAUAUUAUUAUGUAAGUCAAUAUUUACCUUAUAUUGUAAGUUUUAUUGAUAAAUAUGCAUCUCCCAAUACUUAUCCCUAACAUAGUAAAAAAACUAAAAAGUCUAUCUC